Molecule: unclassified non-coding RNA, 689 nt
Filed under: Hevea brasiliensis (rubber tree)
Lineage: Eukaryota; Viridiplantae; Streptophyta; Magnoliopsida; Malpighiales; Euphorbiaceae
Source: RNAcentral
CAACAAUCUCGAAUUCUCUCUUUCUGAUCCUCGUUGAAAAUGUCUAAUGGUCCUCAAGAUCACGGUGACGUGCCGAUGACCCCAGGAUCUAUGUCAGAUGGAAGCAUGAACAUGAGCUCAAUGGACAUGGUGAUGCACAUGAGUUUCUACUGGGGGAAAGAUGCUAUAAUCUUAUUCUCCGGAUGGCCAAAAGACAGCCUUGGAAUGUACAUAUUGGCUUUCUUGUUUGUGUUUGUGCUAGCUGUUGCUGUUGAGGUUUUGUCAGUCUCUCCAAAAUUAAAACUGGGCUCCAAUGCAAUUGUGGGUGCCAUUAGUGAAGCCAGUGUUUAUGCCGUUCGCAUGGUAUUGGCUUACAUGGUUAUGCUCGCUGUCAUGUCUUUCAAUCUGGGAAUCUUUAUAGCAGCGGUGGCUGGCCAUGCAAUCGGCUUAUUUUUCGUCAAGGCUCGGGCUCUUGCCAACAGUAACCGAGGGAUGUAUGCUCGUUUCGCAAAAAUUCAAAAGUUGCUCGUAUUUGUAAUUUUGGACCGGACAGACAAGCUACCGGGAAAGCUUCAGAAUUGGGUCGAGGUUAUAGGCUACCCCAUCAUUUUUCGACAUUCCGGACCCAUCCCAAGAGUCAGAAUUGACACAGGUGAGCCGGAACAGCCUUCCUCCUCCGCCCAGCCACCACAGUGAUUUGUCGUCAAGUC